This 253-nucleotide ribosomal RNA is filed under the name uncultured bacterium. RNAcentral describes it as "partial 16S ribosomal RNA". It matches the Rfam family "Bacterial small subunit ribosomal RNA", at positions 524 to 776 of the family's 1533-position model. The record is from RNAcentral.
GACGUAGGGAGCUAGCGUUAUCCGGAAUCACUGGGCGUAAAGCGUGUGUAGGCGUCCCGAUAAGUUUUCAUUUAAAGACCAAGGCUCAACCUUGGGACUGGUGAAAAUACUGUUGGGAUAGAGGCUUACAGAGGCAGGUGGAAUUCCCGGUGGAGUAGUGAAAUGCGUUGAUAUCGGGAGGAACACCAAUGGCGAAGGCAGCCUGCUAGGUAAGUCCUGACGCUGAGACACGAAAGCACCGGGAGCGAACGGG